GAUGAAGAACGCAGCGAAAUGCGAUACGUAAUGUGAAUUGCAGAAUUCAGUGAAUCAUCGAAUCUUUGAACGCAUAUUGCGCUCUCUGGUAUUCCGGAGAGCAUGCUUGUUUGAGUAUCAGUAAACACCUCAACUUCCAUAUCUUUUUUGAAAUGGGAGUUGGACUUGAGUGAUCCCAACGCUUUUCCUCACCGAAAAGUGGCGGGUUACUUGAAAUGCAGGUGCAGCUGGACUUUUCUCUGAGCUAUAAGCAUAUCUAUUUAGUCUGCCUAAAAAACAGAUUAUUACCUUUGCUGCAGCUAACAUAAAGGAGAUUAGUUCUUGUGCUGACUGAUGCAGGAUUCACAAAGACAGGCUUCGGCCGACUUUGUAAACUCGAUCUCAAAUCAAGUAGGACUACCCGCUGAACUUAAGCAUAUCAAUAAGCGGAGGA
This 433-nucleotide unclassified non-coding RNA is filed under the name soil metagenome. RNAcentral describes it as "partial contains 5.8S ribosomal RNA, internal transcribed spacer 2, and large subunit ribosomal RNA". The stretch from base 1 to 120 matches the Rfam family "5.8S ribosomal RNA", at positions 35 to 154 of the family's 154-position model. The record is from RNAcentral.